GACGAACGCUGGCGGCGUGCUUAACACAUGCAAGUCGAACGAAGAGCGAUGGAAGCUUGCUUCUAUCAAUCUUAGUGGCGAACGGUUGAGUAACGCGUAAUCAACCUGCCCUUCAGAGGGGGACAACAGUUGGAAACGACUGCUAAUACCGCAUACGAUCUAAUCUCGGCAUCGAGGAUAGAUGAAAGGUGGCCUCUACAUGUAAGCUAUCACUGAAGGAGGGGAUUGCGUCUGAUUAGCUAGUUGGAGGGGUAACGGCCCACCAAGGCGAUGAUCAGUAGCAGGUCUGAGAGGAUGAACGGCCACAUUGGGACUGAGACACGGCCCAGACUCCUACGGGAGGCAGCAGUGGGGAAUCUUCCGCAAUGGACGAAAGUCUGACGGAGCAACGCCGCGUGAGUGAUGACGGCCUUCGGGUUGUAAAGCUCUGUUAAUCGGGACGAAAGGCCUUAUUGCGAAUAGUGAGAAGGAUUGACGGUACCGGAAUAGAAAGCCACGGCUAACUACGUG
This 510-nucleotide ribosomal RNA is filed under the name uncultured bacterium. RNAcentral's name for it is "partial 16S ribosomal RNA". It matches the Rfam family "Bacterial small subunit ribosomal RNA", at positions 28 to 507 of the family's 1533-position model. The record is from RNAcentral.